RNAcentral lists this small RNA (423 nucleotides) under Pan troglodytes (chimpanzee). RNAcentral describes it as "processed transcript". The record is from RNAcentral. Lineage: Eukaryota; Metazoa; Chordata; Mammalia; Primates; Hominidae.
GGGACUGGGCGACCCUCCGUUCUGUUGCUGCCGGUGAGGCGGGAGAGCGCCGGGGCCGACACGCGCCCCACUGUCAGACCACGGAAUGAUGUGGCCCACAAGCAGCUCUCAGCUUUUGGAGAGUAUGUGGCUGAAAUCUUGCCCAAGUGUCCUGCUUCAAUGAGUUAGAGGUCUGUAUCCAUCCUGAUGGCGUCAUCCCAGUGCUGACUUUCCUCAGGGAUCACACCAAUGCGCAGUUCAAAUCCCUGGUUGACUUGACAGCAGUGGACGUCCCAACUCGGCAGAACCGUUUUGAGGUCAGUUGGGAGAUCUGAGAAGGUUUUGGGGGUAAGGGUAUUAAUUUCAGUUUGUAACAUACAAUAGAACACAGCAGUUAAACUGGAACUUCAGAGUCAAGUAGAUCUCAAGUUGGAUCUUGGUUCU